RNAcentral lists this ribosomal RNA (405 nucleotides) under uncultured bacterium. RNAcentral's name for it is "partial 16S ribosomal RNA". It matches the Rfam family "Bacterial small subunit ribosomal RNA", at positions 29 to 526 of the family's 1533-position model. The record is from RNAcentral.
AUUGAACGCUGGCGGCAGACUUAACACAUGCAAGUCGAGCGAGCGGCGGACGGGUGAGUAAUGUCUGGGAAACUGCCUGAUGGAGGGGGAUAACUACUGGAAACGGUAGCUAAUUCCGCACACCAUCAGAUGUGCCCAGAUGGGAUUAGCUAGUAGGUGGGGUAAUGGCUCACCUAGGCGACGAUCCCUUGCUGGUCUGGGAGGAUCACCAGCCACACGGGACCGGGACAAGGGUCAAGACUCCUAGGGGAGGAGGAGGGGGGGAAUUGUGCACAAUGGGCGAAAGCCUGUAGCGGCCAGGCCGGGUGUGGGAAGAGGGCCUUCGGGUGGUAAAGAACUUUCAGCGGGGAGGCGUUACUCGCAGAUGAAGCACCGGCUAACUCCGUGCCAGCGGCCGCGUAAUUC